UGGCGGACGGGUGAGUAAUGUCUGGGAAACUGCCUGAUGGAGGGGGAUAACUACUGGAAACGGUAGCUAAUACCGCAUAACGUCGCAAGACCAAAGAGGGGGACCUUAGGGCCUCUUGCCAUCGGAUGUGCCCAGAUGGGAUUAGCUAGUAGGUGGGGUAACGGCUCACCUAGGCGACGAUCCCUAGCUGGUCUGAGGGGAUGACCAGCCACACUGGAACUGAGACACGGUCCAG
Molecule: ribosomal RNA, 235 nt
Filed under: uncultured bacterium
Lineage: Bacteria
Description: partial 16S ribosomal RNA
Rfam family: Bacterial small subunit ribosomal RNA
Source: RNAcentral